AGCGGCAACAGCUCAAAUUUGAAAUCUGGCUUCGGCCCGAGUUGUAAUUUGUAGAGGAAGCUUUAGGCGCGGCACCUUCUGAGUCCCCUGGAACGGGGCGCCAAAGAGGGUGAGAGCCCCGUAUAGUUGGAUGCCUAGCCUGUGUAAAGCUCCUUCGACGAGUCGAGUAGUUUGGGAAUGCUGCUCAAAAUGGGAGGUAAAUUUCUUCUAAAGCUAAAUACCGGCCAGAGACCGAUAGCGCACAAGUAGAGUGAUCGAAAGAUGAAAAGCACUUUGAAAAGAGGGUUAAAUAGCACGUGAAAUUGUUGAAAGGGAAGCGCUUGUGACCAGACUUGCGCCGGGCGGAUCAUCCGGUGUUCUCACCGGUGCACUCCGCCCGGCUCAGGCCAGCAUCGGUUCUCGUGGGGGGAUAAAGGCCCUGGGAACGUAGCUCCUCCGGGAGUGUUAUAGCCCAGGGUGUAAUGCCCUCGCGGGGACCGAGGUUCGCGCAUCUGCAAGGAUGCUGGCGUAAUGGUCAUCAGCGACCCGUCUUGAAACACGGACCAAGGAGUCAAGGUUUUGCGCGAGUGUUUGGGUGUAAAACCCGCACGCGUAAUGAAAGUGAACGUAGGUGAGAGCUUCGGCGCAUCAUCGACCGAUCCUGAUGUAUUCGGAUGGAUUUGAGUAAGAGCGUUAAGCCUUGGACCCGAAAGAUGGUGAACUAUGCUUGGAUAGGGUGAAGCCAGAGGAAACUCUGGUGGAGGCUCGCAGCGGUUCUGACGUGCAAAUCGAUCGUCAAAUCUGAGCAUGGGGGGCGAAAGACUAAUCGAACCAUCUAGUAGCUGGUUACCGCCGAAG
Molecule: ribosomal RNA, 837 nt
Filed under: Collariella bostrychodes
Lineage: Eukaryota; Fungi; Ascomycota; Sordariomycetes; Sordariales; Chaetomiaceae
Description: LSU rRNA
Rfam family: Eukaryotic large subunit ribosomal RNA
Source: RNAcentral